RNAcentral lists this ribosomal RNA (492 nucleotides) under uncultured bacterium. RNAcentral describes it as "partial 16S ribosomal RNA". It matches the Rfam family "Bacterial small subunit ribosomal RNA", at positions 29 to 507 of the family's 1533-position model. The record is from RNAcentral.
AGUGAACGCUGGCGGUAGGCCUAACACAUGCAAGUCGAACGGCAGCACAGUAAGAGCUUGCUCUUACGGGUGGCGAGUGGCGGACGGGUGAGGAAUACAUCGGAAUCUACUUUUUCGUGGGGGAUAACGUAGGGAAACUUACGCUAAUACCGCAUACGACCUACGGGUGAAAGCAGUGGAUCUUCUGACCUUGCGCGAUUGAAUGAGCCGAUGUCGGAUUAGCUAGUUGGCGGGGUAAAGGCCCACCAAGGCGACGAUCCGUAGCUGGUCUGAGAGGAGGAUCAGCCACACUGGAACUGAGACACGGUCCAGACUCCUACGGGAGGCAGCAGUGGGGAAUAUUGGACAAUGGGCGCAAGCCUGAUCCAGCCAUACCGCAUGGGUGAAGAAGGCCUUCGGGUUGUAAAGCCCUUUUGUUGGGAAAGAAAAGCAGCAGGUUAACACCCCGCUGUUCUGACGGUACCCAAAGAAUAAGCACCGGCUAACUUCGUG